AUUCCCAAUGCUGCUAUGGUAUAUACCCGUAGCUUUGGUCCAAUGCAAGAUGUUAAUGGCACUGGUAUUUCCAUGUCUCGGAAGUUUGACGGUCCUUUCGUUCUUAUUGAUGAUGAAGUUGUCAAAAUAUCCGCAAUAGUCCUUCGACCUGGUCACUCAGAAGUGAAUGAACCAGGAAUGGGUCUGGAUGAGACAAAGCCUGCAAAUCUUUCUGUUAUUUAUAUUUGUGAAUUGCCUGAAAUAAAGGGAAAAUUUGAUCCCCAAAAAGCCGCUUCUCUUGGAUUGAGACCUGGGCCGAAAUAUCGUGAACUGCAACUUGGAAAUCCCGUGAAGUCAGAUUGUGAAAAUAUUAUGGUAGAUUAGCAAGCCUUUCAGAAUUUUGCUUUGCGCCUUUAGUAUGUUCAAAUUAUUUCUUCCUAUAAAUUGCUGCACUUGUGAUGUACAGGUUCACCCAAGUGAUGUACUUGGUCCUUCCGUUCCUGGCCCUAUACUGCUGCUAAUUGACUGCCCAACGCCAUUGCAUUUGAAACAGUUGUUGUCUGUACAAAGUCUCAUUCCUUAUUAUGCAGAUACGGCUGGGAAUGUACAGGAAGGUUCCAAAACAGUGCAUUGUGUAAUUCAUCUAAGUCCUGCGUCUGUCACAAACACAAGCGAAUAUCAAUUAUGGAUGUCAAAAUUUGGUGCAGCUCAGCAUAUUAUGGCGGGGCAUCAAAUGUCUGUUUCUUCGAAAAAUUACUAUCUUUAUUUUCACAAUAUGGUUUAUUGCUCGUUCCUUGAGAAAUUAGAACUGAGGAGUCUCAUAUUUUGCAGGAAGAAUGUUGAGGUGCCAAUUUUAAAAGCUGGUGCUAGAAUUGGAGCACGACUUAACUACUUGUGUCCUCAUUUCUUUCCAGCUCCUGGAUUUUGGUCCCUUCAGCACCUGACGUGUUUAUCGUCUGGCUUGAAGGCUUCAAAUAAUGUAUAUUGUGGAAUUAUAUUUUAUAUUUCAGUUAAAAUGAUUUGAUCAAAUCACGUAUUUGUGUAUAAUUUUAUCAAUCUUGGUUGUGUCCUCUCAGGAUCUUAUGCCAGGCAUUGGUGAAACGGUUUCGGCACAGAAUCUUCUCAAGGUGUGAAUUGUCAUCUAAGUCAUUAGUUUCCUAGAAUGACUAUCAAAAUAACCCUAAUGAUAUCUGCAAUUUGCAGAACAUAAUUACCAUUUUAGCUUACGUGCCACUAUUUUAUCAUCCAUUAUCAAGCUGUCAAUUGAAUCUUUACUUGGAGCUGUUAUUUUAUCAUAUGAACAAUGAGAUAAUGCAAAGACGAAUGCUUUAGCCGCUUUUUUUGUUUUGAAAACAAAUAGUGAUGUAGGUAUCAUCAAUUUGAUUUCUCCUUUCACCUUUUUAUCAUAAUGAUUAUAAGUGGUAAUAAAGAGUUGUUAAGAAUAUUGAAAGUUUAAUAUGAAAUCCUUUUGAAGAAGUGCAUGGAAAGUGGAAUCUUAAUAGUUACUAGCUCUAGUUGUUCUUCUAUUACUGUGUAUGUUAUUUAUGUUGAUAUGCUGAUGUCUUUAGUUUGUUAGUGGCUUUAAAAACCCUCUUAUCACACAUCAGACUUUAUAUAAUGUGCACAUGUUUUAUGAACAUCUAUUACUUGUUGCCUUUAUCAAUAUUUUUUGGGUCACCCAAAAGAAACAAAAAACACAUAGGAAAAAAUAGAUUGGGUAGGAUCUCUUUCUAUUGGUAAAUCAUUUACAAAUGACAAUAUUGUGGGUGUAGCUUAAGCUGAAGUUUAUAGUUAGGUUUAUGGGCCAAAUAAUAUCACAUAAUCAAAGUUCAUACAUGGGAUAAAUUUGAAAAUAUCUCUUUAUUCACAUUUAUGAUUUCUCAUAAAAUUUUGAUUUUGCAUUUUUUUGAGGAAAGGUAUUUGGUUUUGGAUUUUAUAUAUAAUAUACAUUACAUUUAUUCCAGGGAUUGCAACGCUUCUGCACUGAGCAUAAAAUCAAAUUGUCGAAGGUAUCAUGCCCAUAAGCUCUCUCUUCUACUCUGUUUUUCUUUCUUACUGCUAAGGAAGAACAAUUUAAUUAUCAUUAUUUUAAUAAAAUGUAUUCCAGAUUGAUCACAUAUUUCUCUCACGUGUUUGCUCGGAAACUGCUGGUGGACUCCCUGGUUUGCUCCUAACCACUGAAUGAACUUAGCAACACGUUUCUCAUUAUAUUACAUAAAAUUGAUUUUAUCACUAAAUUUUCGUACAAUAGAUAAAUGCUAACUUAUUUUCUUGCAGGUCUUUUGUUGACUCUGGCUGGUAUUGGAGAUGGAGUUUCUGUAAGUGUUGGUUUGAUUAAGUGCAUCUUAUAAAAAUUCAUGGAUAGGAUUUGAACAGUAAUUUUUGAAAUCAUAAUGUUCUUCUUAACUCUUCCGAAGGUCAAUGUAUGGGGUCCCUCAGAUCUCAAGUAUCUGGUUGAUGCAAUGAAAUCUUUCAUUCCCAAUGCUGCUAUGGUAUAUACCCGUAGCUUUGGUCCAAUGCAAGAUGUUAAUGGCACUGGUAUUUCCAUGUCUCGGAAGUUUGACGGUCCUUUCGUUCUAAUUGAUGAUGAAGUUGUCAAAAUAUCCGCAAUAGUCCUUCGACCUGGUCACUCAGAAGUGAAUGAACCAGGAAUGGGUCUGGAUGAGACAAAGCCUGCAAAUCUUUCUGUUAUUUAUAUUUGUGAAUUGCCUGAAAUAAAGGGAAAAUUUGAUCCCCAAAAAGCCGCUUCUCUUGGAUUGAGACCUGGGCCGAAAUAUCGUGAACUGCAACUUGGAAAUCCCGUGAAGUCAGAUUGUGAAAAUAUUAU
RNAcentral lists this long non-coding RNA (2806 nucleotides) under Olea europaea (common olive). RNAcentral describes it as "long non-coding RNA (OEUR_LNC006902)". The record is from RNAcentral. Lineage: Eukaryota; Viridiplantae; Streptophyta; Magnoliopsida; Lamiales; Oleaceae.